RNAcentral lists this ribosomal RNA (1106 nucleotides) under Bacillus licheniformis. RNAcentral describes it as "bacterial SSU rRNA". It matches the Rfam family "Bacterial small subunit ribosomal RNA", at positions 64 to 1157 of the family's 1533-position model. The record is from RNAcentral. Lineage: Bacteria; Bacillati; Bacillota; Bacilli; Caryophanales; Bacillaceae.
UCGUAACAAGGUAGCCGUAGAUGAUGUCAGCGGCGGACGGGUGAGUAACACGUGGGUAACCUGCCUGUAAGACUGGGAUAACUCCGGGAAACCGGGGCUAAUACCGGAUGCUUGAUUGAACCGCAUGGUUCAAUUAUAAAAGGUGGCUUUUAGCUACCACUUACAGAUGGACCCGCGGCGCAUUAGCUAGUUGGUGAGGUAACGGCUCACCAAGGCAACGAUGCGUAGCCGACCUGAAAGGGUGAUCGGCCACACUGGGACUGAAACACGGCCCAAACUCCUACGGAAGGCAGCAGUAGGGAAUCUUCCGCAAUGGACGAAAGUCUGACGGAGCAACGCCGCGUGAGUGAUGAAGGUUUUCGGAUCGUAAAACUCUGUUGUUAGGGAAAAACAAGUACCGUUCGAAUAGGGCGGUACCUUGACGGUACCUAACCAGAAAGCCACGGCUAACUACGUGCCACCAGCCGCGGUAAUACGUAGGUGGCAAGCGUUGUCCGGAAUUAUUGGGCGUAAAGCGCGCGCAGGCGGUUUCUUAAGUCUGAUGUGAAAGCCCCCGGCUCAACCGGGGAGGGUCAUUGGAAACUGGGGAACUUGAGUGCAGAAAAGGAGAGUGGAAUUCCACGUGUAGCGGUGAAAUGCGUAAAGAUGUGAAGGAACACCAGUGGCGAAGGCGACUCUCUGGUCUGUAACUGACGCUGAGGCGCGAAAGCGUGGGGAGCGAACAGGAUUAGAUACCCUGGUAGUCCACGCCGUAAACGAUGAGUGCUAAGUGUUAGAGGGUUUCCGCCCUUUAGUGCUGCAGCAAACGCAUUAAGCACUCCGCCUGGGGAGUACGGUCGCAAGACUGAAACUCAAAGGAAUUGACGGGGGCCCGCACAAGCGGUGGAGCAUGUGGUUUAAUUCGAAGCAACGCGAAGAACCUUACCAGGUCUUGACAUCCUCUGACAACCCUAGAGAUAGGGCUUCCCCUUCGGGGGCAGAGUGACAGGUGGUGCAUGGUUGUCGUCAGCUCGUGUCGUGAGAUGUUGGGUUAAGUCCCGCAACGAGCGCAACCCUUGAUCUUAGUUGCCAGCAUUCAGUUGGGCACUCUAAGGUGACUGCCGGUG